This 515-nucleotide unclassified non-coding RNA is filed under the name Hevea brasiliensis (rubber tree). The record is from RNAcentral. Lineage: Eukaryota; Viridiplantae; Streptophyta; Magnoliopsida; Malpighiales; Euphorbiaceae.
AUAAUCAUUCCACAUGAAAAAGUUAUUUGGUCUGUUAUGUUGUUAUACAAUAACAAAUGAAUAUACCAGCAGCUAUUUUGCCUCUACCUUAUAGAAUCUCCCAUUCCUUGAGGCAAGGUGUUGCAGACUUGCAGCUUUCAGCUUUCGGCCUUGAAUCAUAGCAAAUUACUAUGCCAGUAUGCCACCAACCCCUUUCCAAAAGGCGCCAACCUCAACUCAAUUUUAUUUAUUUAUUUAGCGAAAGGAGUCAUUGCAUAGUUUGAUUAUACAUACCUAAUGAUGAAGACAACUGGUUGCCAAAAAGCAAUAGAUUCUAUUAAAAGUUAAUCAAGGGCACUUUUCAUCUCAAUUUUUUUCUAAAAAAAAUGUCUAUUUGGCAUUAAGUUUGAAAUUAUUUUUGCAACACAUCAAACUGUAUAAGUUGGUUGAGGUGGCUUUCGUUAAAGUGUCCAAGGGGAUGGUUUUGCCAAAAGUUGUAACUGCAAAAAUAAAAACAGAUGAUUAAUAUGUUAUUA